Molecule: non-coding RNA, 79 nt
Filed under: Elusimicrobiota bacterium
Lineage: Bacteria; Pseudomonadati; Elusimicrobiota
Description: Elusimicrobia bacterium Fluoride sequence
Rfam family: Fluoride riboswitch aptamer (crcB RNA motif)
Source: RNAcentral
UGUUUCACUGGUGAUGGAUCUCCACCUAACCAUUCUCUCAGGUUAAACCGCCCUAAAAGCUGAUGGUUCCUACUAAAAA